AUUUUUCUUCGGGGCAUGGUGAGAAAGCUAAGGCUUUCAAUUCCUGACCGGCGGUAUAGCCCGCGAGCCAUUUUUUUGGCAUGAACUGGUGUGAUUCCAGUGCCGACAGUAUAGUCUGGAUGGGAGAAGACGGAU
This 135-nucleotide non-coding RNA is filed under the name Clostridiaceae bacterium. RNAcentral describes it as "FMN sequence". It matches the Rfam family "FMN riboswitch aptamer (RFN element)". Rfam says of the family: The RFN element is a highly conserved domain that is found frequently in the 5'-untranslated regions of prokaryotic mRNAs that encode for flavin mononucleotide (FMN) biosynthesis and transport proteins. Lineage: Bacteria; Bacillati; Bacillota; Clostridia; Eubacteriales; Clostridiaceae. The record is from RNAcentral.